ACCUGGGUGGCUCAGUCAGUUAAGCGUCUGACUUCAGCUCAGGCCAAGAUCUUACAGUCUGUGAGUUCGAGCCCCGCCUCAGGCA
RNAcentral lists this transfer RNA (85 nucleotides) under Felis catus (domestic cat). It matches the Rfam family "tRNA". Rfam says of the family: Transfer RNA (tRNA) molecules are approximately 80 nucleotides in length. Their secondary structure includes four short double-helical elements and three loops (D, anti-codon, and T loops). Lineage: Eukaryota; Metazoa; Chordata; Mammalia; Carnivora; Felidae. The record is from Rfam by way of RNAcentral.